Molecule: ribosomal RNA, 403 nt
Filed under: uncultured bacterium
Lineage: Bacteria
Description: bacterial SSU rRNA
Rfam family: Bacterial small subunit ribosomal RNA
Source: RNAcentral
AUUGAACGCUGGCGGCAUGCUUUACACAUGCAAGUCGAACGGCAGCACGGGGGCAACCCUGGUGGCGAGUGGCGAACGGGUGAGUAACACAUCGGAACGUGUCCAGUUGUGGGGGAUAACCCAUCGAAAGGUGGGCUAAUACCGCAUGAUCUGGCAACAGCAAAGCAGGGGACUCGAAAGGGCCUUGUGCGAUUGGAGCGGCCGAUGUCCGAUUAGCUAGUUGGUGGGGUAAAGGCCCACCAAGGCGACGAUCGGUAGCUGGACUGAGAGGAUGAUCAGCCACACUGGGACUGAGACACGGCCCAGACUCCUACGGAGGCAGCAGUGGGGAAUUUUGGACAAUGGGGGCAACCCUGAUCCAGCCAUGCCGCGUGAGUGAAGAAGGCCUUCGGGUUGUUAAAGG